AUGAGGAUCAGGAAGGACUCAGGGCUGAGGCUGUGGAGGAUGGAAGAUCCAUAUGCAUCAAGGAGAAGAACUGUUGUUGACUACAGGUUCCAUACAAAGGAACGACAGGACUUCUAUGAGACAAUUCUGUUGGAUAAGAAGCCCAUAGUUUAUGAUAUGAGGUGGGUCGACUGGACCUACAUUAAGGACAAUGAAGAUCACUAUCCUGGAGUGCAAGACAGCUUUGUUGCUUGUGGAGUUGCUGAUUUUGUUGGGAAAAAGCUCACCCACUGGAAUGAUGAACUUAUCAUGCGAUUCUACUCCACAGCACACUUUUAUCCAGAUGGAAAAAUUGUUUGGAUGUUAGAAGGCACCAGAUACCAGUCAACUGUUGAAGAAUGGGCAAGUCUGAUAAAUGCCCCUAAGGAAAAUGAGGAUGACCUGGACGUUUAUGCAAAGAAGAAAAUGGAUCACAAUUCCAUGGCACACAUGUACAAGGAGAUCCCAGACAAGGCUGUUGAGACACACAAGUUUGGAUCAGUCCACUUUCUGUUGUCAGGGCUGCCAACUAUCAAUUGCAUCCUAAGGCACACUCUGUUGCCCAAGUCUGGUGACCAUAACAUGAUCAGAGGGCAUGCCAUCAACAUGUUGCAUGUGUUUGAUGUGCCACAAAAGUUCAAAGUCAUGAGCCUUAUGAUUAAAACCAUUAAGAGGACUGCAGCAGAUCAGAAGAGGAGCUGUGGAUAUGCCCCUCAGAUUCAGGAGUUGAUAAACUCAAAGAUGGGCACAGGGAAAUAUCAGUUGGAUAAGGAACAUUUUCCACUUUAUCCAGACUUUGAGGACAAUGAGGUUGUCAUGAAUGAGAAUGACCCAUCAUCAGUUCAAGCUCAAGAGAAGAAAGAGAAGGCAAAGAAGAAGGCUGCCAGGAUGCCAACUCAAGAGAAGGCAUCUGAAUAUUUCUUGAAGAACAAGCAGGAGCAGCUUGGUUACUUGAUAGCAUCUACACUGAGGAUUGAGAAGGGACUGGCCACCCUCACUCAGAAUCAGGAGAGCCAAAUGUAG
This 1041-nucleotide ribosomal RNA is filed under the name Triticum aestivum (bread wheat). RNAcentral's name for it is "partial small subunit ribosomal RNA". The record is from RNAcentral. Lineage: Eukaryota; Viridiplantae; Streptophyta; Magnoliopsida; Poales; Poaceae.